Ixodes scapularis (black-legged tick) is the source of this 73-nucleotide non-coding RNA. The record is from Rfam. NCBI's taxonomy places the organism in Eukaryota, Metazoa, Arthropoda, Arachnida, Ixodida, Ixodidae.
CCCUGGUUAGCUCAGUUGGUAAACCGCUCCACCUGUAAUGGAGAGGUCCCGGGUUCGAUACCCGGACCAGGCG